Molecule: small nuclear RNA, 106 nt
Filed under: Salvator merianae (Argentine black and white tegu)
Lineage: Eukaryota; Metazoa; Chordata; Lepidosauria; Squamata; Teiidae
Source: RNAcentral
GUGCUUGCUUUGUCAGCUCAUAUACUAAAAUUGGAAUGAUACAGAGAAGAUUAGCAUCACCCGGUGCAAGGAUGACAUGCAAAUUUAUGAAGUGUUCCAUAUUUUG